RNAcentral lists this unclassified non-coding RNA (159 nucleotides) under fungal sp. RNAcentral describes it as "partial internal transcribed spacer region". Lineage: Eukaryota; Fungi. The record is from RNAcentral.
CGGCAAGCAUGAUCGCUGCUGCCAGUGGGCGACUGAUCACGUUGCGGAUCGCAACAUCCUUGGUGAAUCCGCCGGCGAUCACCUCGGAGAUCAAGAACGCAGCGAACAGCGUGAUCACGGCCAACAGGAAUCGCCAUCCGGACCGCAGCCGGCCUUCCC